GCACAAAGGAUGGCACAAUGAGCCUACAUCUGCUUGGAGAAAACAGAGAAAUUGCUCAAUAGAUGAAGGUACUGAAGAAUGGAAGUUUUUAAACUCAAUUUCUUUGUGGUCACUGUGGUCAAGAUGGCUGUGAAUCACUGCUUCGCUCACAAGAUCCACUCUGUUUACAAGGAGCAGAUCAAAGAAUUGAGAGGAAAGCAAAAGACAGAACAGAGAAACAGCAGAAAAGAACCAUCACAGCAUAAUCCUACUGUACCUGGGUGGAUUUCCUAGCAGAAGGGCCUACCUGGCUUAUAAGUACUACUCAGGGCAGCAAUAGCUGUCCUGUUGAGGAUCUAUCCUCCUGCAGAGCCUAGAGGAUACGACAAAGGAAAGAGGGAUUGCAGGAUGAUGGCAGCUGACAGGAGCCAGAGUCCAGGGAUGUGCUGCGUGACUGUCCCAGAAGCCAAAAUAUUCUCUGACAUCUCUAACAAAAAAUUAUCAUCAUUAUUAUGAUCUCUUGCAUAGCGGAUCAUGGAACUUCAAAUAAGCGAUUCCAGAAUAAGAGACAGUGUCUAUUUAAAAACAGACCUACUCUUGAUUUAAGGAGAGUGAAUGAGAAUGCUUUGUAUCCUUUGAUAAUCUGUUCCAGUGGUUAAUUAUUCUCAUUGUCAAAAAUGCAUGUCUUUGUUCCUUAUUUGGAUGUAUGCUAAUUUCAAACAGGUGUUUUCUUUUGAUUGUGCAAUUAAAACACUGUAAAGAAAUGUACAAGGCACUUCAGACAAACGGAAAUUCUUAACAACUUCUUUAUUGUAAAACUUUACAAUUGUAUAAUUAUGAUAAAACUGUUUUCCACUCUCCCUUUAGCUGGCUUGUAAAGAUUUUUCAAAGAAUUUGGCACUUUAAAACUAUAAUUAGGAUGUAAAGUUGUAAGACGUUUUUAUU
Cyanistes caeruleus (blue tit) is the source of this 924-nucleotide long non-coding RNA. RefSeq lists it as uncharacterized. The record is from RefSeq and is a predicted model, not a curated record. NCBI's taxonomy places the organism in Eukaryota, Metazoa, Chordata, Aves, Passeriformes, Paridae.